Molecule: non-coding RNA, 31 nt
Filed under: Mus musculus (house mouse)
Lineage: Eukaryota; Metazoa; Chordata; Mammalia; Rodentia; Muridae
Source: RNAcentral
CNCACCUUUAAUCUGGGCUACGCCUUUCACC